CGGAGGUGCAAGCGUUAUCCGGAUUCACUGGGUUUAAGGGUGCGUAGGUGGGUCUGUAAGUCAGUGGUGAAAUCUCCAAGCUUAACUUGGAACUGCCGUUGAUACUAUAGAUCUUGAAUGUUGUGGAGGUGAGCGGAAUAUGUCAUGUAGCGGUGAAAUGCUUAGAUAUGACAUAGAACACCAAUUGCGAAGGCAGCUCACUACACAAAUAUUGACACUGAGGCACGAAAGCGUGGGAUCAAACAGGAUU
Molecule: ribosomal RNA, 250 nt
Filed under: uncultured bacterium
Lineage: Bacteria
Description: partial 16S ribosomal RNA
Rfam family: Bacterial small subunit ribosomal RNA
Source: RNAcentral